AUACUUACCUGGACGGGGUCUAUGAGCGAUCAAGAAGGCUCAUGGCCUAGAUCAAUGGUUCACAUUGCACAUAGUGAGUGCGUUGAUCUAUCCUCUUUUUUGGGAGAGUGGAUGUCAUAAUUUGUGAUAGAGGGGGUACGCGUCUGCGCGGCCCCUGC
RNAcentral lists this small nuclear RNA (158 nucleotides) under Triticum aestivum (bread wheat). Its description in RNAcentral is "snRNA U1". It matches the Rfam family "U1 spliceosomal RNA". Rfam says of the family: U1 is a small nuclear RNA (snRNA) component of the spliceosome (involved in pre-mRNA splicing). Its 5' end forms complementary base pairs with the 5' splice junction, thus defining the 5' donor site of an intron. There are significant differences in sequence and secondary structure between metazoan and yeast U1 snRNAs, the latter being much longer (568 nucleotides as compared to 164 nucleotides in human). The record is from RNAcentral. Lineage: Eukaryota; Viridiplantae; Streptophyta; Magnoliopsida; Poales; Poaceae.